Molecule: ribosomal RNA, 423 nt
Filed under: Triticum aestivum (bread wheat)
Lineage: Eukaryota; Viridiplantae; Streptophyta; Magnoliopsida; Poales; Poaceae
Description: partial small subunit ribosomal RNA
Source: RNAcentral
AUGGAGAAGUGGUAUGAAUUGGUAGAAAUAGCUAAGAGCAUUACUUUCUCUGGUGAUUCAGAUGCCUUGAUCUGGCAAUUGGAGAAUAAUGGUGUUUAUUCUACUAGCUCUCUCUAUUCAGUUAUUAAUUUCUGGGGUGUGCAACCAGUUCACAUUCCUGCAGUUUGGAAGCUGUCUGUCCCUCCUAGGAUUCAUUUUUUUCUCUGGCUGCUAGGACAUAAUAAAUUAAUGACUAAAAACAAUUUGCUCAAAAGACAUAUAGACAAAGGUAGAGAAUGUCUCUUUUGUGGCUGUGAUGAAAACACCACCCAUUUAUUCUUUGAUUGUGUGGUUUCCUCUGCUAUCUGGGAGGUUGUGCAAAGUUUCUUAAAAAAGCCAGUGGGCGCCAAUUAUGCUAGAAUGUGGGUUUCUAAAUUCUUCUAA